This is a non-coding RNA of Gossypium hirsutum (cotton), 146 nucleotides long. The record is from Rfam. NCBI's taxonomy places the organism in Eukaryota, Viridiplantae, Streptophyta, Magnoliopsida, Malvales, Malvaceae.
UGUAUAAAAACUUCACCUAUUUGUAUUGUUCAAAAGUGACUUAGCCAACGAAAUAGCCCGAUAAUGAUACGUGACCUAUCAUUUGUACCUCAUGCUAAUGUAUAGUGACAAGUUUUUAACAGUAUAAAUGAAUAGAAUUUUUAAUA